Molecule: unclassified non-coding RNA, 203 nt
Filed under: Hevea brasiliensis (rubber tree)
Lineage: Eukaryota; Viridiplantae; Streptophyta; Magnoliopsida; Malpighiales; Euphorbiaceae
Source: RNAcentral
UCCAGGAAGAACUUAAAUGACCCCAGUGAGCCAACUGGAGUGAUCUUGUGUGCAGUUUCUUCUGCAUGGUUGCCAGUCUCUCCUCAUGUUCUGUUCGAUUUCUUGCGAGAUGAUGAUCAUAGAAAUGAGUGGGAUAUCAUGUCUAAUGGAGGUCCAGUGCAAUCCAUUGCAAAUUUAGCCAAAGGACAAGAUAGAGGCAAUGC